GCCUACAGCUCUCUCCCACCAGCUUGGUGCCUGCAAGCCCACCAUUCUCUCUCCAUGCCAUUGUGCUGAGCACAGAAGUCCUGAGCGGAUCACAAGCCCAGUCUGCUCUUCCUGCCAAAUGGUUCAAUCGGAGCCAAUUCCUUCCUCUAUUCUCAGAGAUUCAGGGCAACCCGAGAGAAUAGGACCCUAAGAGGAUUAAACACCCAGGGCGGAGAGAUGGUGAUGCCGAAAACAAGCAGAGGAGAGGAAAAUUGUACUGGGGAUUCACCUAUUGUGAAGGCUGCAGGCUUUUGUUACUUUGUCUCAUCGCCAACUCUAGUGGCAAACUAGGAAAAUUGAAGGUGCCGAGUUUUAACUCUAGUUGUUAAAUUGUACAGGGUUCCCGGAAUCUCCUAACUUCUCCUGUUGCUCACAAAUGUGGUAACUAGAAAAAACAGUUUAAAAACUUGGCAUCCUUCAAAAGUAUCUUAAAAUAGAUUUAUAUUUGUAGGUACGAUCAAUUUUCAAAUGGCCCUUUUUAAGCCUGGAAACAAAGUUAAACUCCACAAUAUUGCAAAAUUAGAAUCUGCAAUUGAACUAAAACUUUAUACAUGGGAUUUGCGGUCUUUCUACAUCUCUGGUUCAGAAAUGAAUUUGGAAUUCAAGACAAUUUAUCAUCUCUUAAGGAAAAAUGAACUGGGAAACAAAAGCGGACUGAAUUUGUAUUGAUAUUAACCCAGUCUUGCGGGUGUUGUUGCUGUGUUAUUUCACCCCAGUCUUCACAUCUGCAAGCACUCACUCUCAUCUGUCAAUUACGCAACUGCAAUUUUGAUCAAAAUGAAACACUCCGCACUGAGAUAAAAACAGGGCGUGGUAUUCUUUUUUGGACUAGGAGAUUUGGAUAAAACGUGAUAACACUGUGGUUGAACUCUGCAAACACUCCCGAUCAUUCACACAAUUUCGGCUUCACUCUGUGGUUUGGAUGCAGAUUGUGGAAAUCACAGCCUGGACCCGGAGAACUUGUCGCAGCAGCAGCAGGGUUUCCGGACCCAGUAUCUCCCUUCCCUUUGCUCUCCUGACAGCUGCCUGCAUCUGGAAAACAUUAAAUAACCUCAUCCUUUAUGUGGAUUCAUUAUGCUCUUCAAAUUCAUUAUCAAUUAUCAACUGACUGUGAAGAAUGUUUGAAAUCAAAAUGAAGAGGAAGUAAUUAAUGAUGAAGAGUAGGAUCUAGAAGGAAAGGUGAGCCCUCCUGGGGUUAGGACACGGAGCUGAAUGCUGCAGCCACUGCGUGUUUCCUUAAAUUCAAUGGCAUUUGCAAUACUUUUUAAAUAAGUGGAAGAUAAGAAAUUUGGCUCCAUUGUAUGUAAGAAGUAAAGCCAAGUCUCAGUGGUAUAUCUUCAAUGGCACUGGAAGGUUUACAUGGAAAAGCCAGACUUUUGGAGUAUUGCUAUCUGUAAAGGGAAAAUAUAAACAACCAGAACAACCUAUCUGAGAAUGGAACUCCCAAAGCAGUAUGACUUAGAUCAAAUGAUUUUUAAGGGGUUUCAGCCCUUAAAUCAAAUGAUUUAUACAAGGGAGGGGGUUCCAUCAUCCAGGGGACUCCCUCCUGCCUUAUAAAUCAUGUGAUCUAAGGGCUGAGACCCCAUUGUGAACAGAGAAGGCCUGCCUUCGAAUCUGCCACCAACUGGGGAUGGGAAGCAACCUUUGACAAGAUAGUUAUUCUCUUUGUGAAUCCAAAGCUGGUUUUUGGAAACCUGAGCCUCAGAAAUUGGCGCUUAGAAUGUGUAGUCCUACAUUGGGCAACGAGACUAUUUCUGUGCUGGGAGUAUAGCCCCCUCUUCCCAUAUCACCCAUUUACCUGCCUCUCAUCCCAUCAGCUGGGCGGGAGGGCAAGGCCAAAGGGCUUCCAUCCUUCACUGUGAGGAAUGCAAGUUCCCUACACGAGAGGGAGAGAGAGCUCAUUAUCAAGAGGUCUUUCCUCCCCAGGCAGCUUCAGAGAACCAUCUGUUGAUGUGGCCAGGAAAUGCUGGCUGAGAUCCCAACAAAGGAGCCGAGAAGUCCUGGCCAAUGUCUGGCACCUGUGUAAAUGUCUGUCACAGCAAGAGUGACCCCCAUAAUUACCUCGACCUUAUUCAAGCGAGAAGUGCCCGUCAGCCUGAGCCCGGUUUGAGAGGCACGCCUGCUGCUCCGUCCCUCCCCCGUGAGCGCGCCAGCUGAAUCUCCAGCUCAGCAGCAGCCCCAAAGCCCCCAUCAUCAGAAUUUCACCUCCUCCAGCAGCAGGAGACCUCCUCCAAGUUGGGGGAGGCGCCCCACACAGUCCUGACAUCAAGGGCUUUCCUCAGAAACACCCCAGCUGGGGGCUUUCUUUUGACUCACAGCACUUUCAGCCAGGAUGUUCAUGAGCCUGGGGUCCAUUGUUUGUGAAGUCAACUGGAUUCCAAGUUUAAACAUGCAGAGGAAAGGAGGAGUUCCUCAAGCACCUCUGAACUCCAGCAGCUCUGGAAUAUUCCCAUUUCAACAUUCCCACCUGCGCUCCGUCCUCCCUCCUGCCUCUUCCAUCAUAGGGGAUGAGAUGUGUCCUUUUCAAAGGGUGUGAGGAACAACUGUUAUGCACAGAACUAAGGUUAGAAAACACCUUGUAAGUCAACUGAUUAACAAGCACAUGGUCUGGAGAUCAGAAGUCCAAAAAAUGGGUCUCACUGAGCUACAAUCAAGGUGUCAACAGGCUGUGUCCUUUCCUGGAGGCUCUGGGAGAGAAUCGGUAUCCUUGCUCUUUUCCCACUUCGAGAGGCUGCCACAUUCCUUGGCUGGUGGCUCCUUCCUCCAUCUUCAAAGCCAGCGACAGAUGAGAUAUGACCUUGACCAGGAAUGCUGCCUUUGACAAUAAAGAAAAAGAAGAGAUGAUGCCUGGACACCACAAACAUCACGUGCACUGGCUGGAUGAUAGAAAAAUACAGCGGUUCCUCUUCUCCACCCACUAUCGCAAAUCCCCAUUGAUAAAUCACUAUACCCCACGUGGACCCAUGAAUUUUGUAACAUAUUUUACAAUCAAAUUGUGUAGACAGGAGCCUUACAAAAAUUAGUUGCCCACAGCCCCGCAAACCCUAAAACCUGCCCUGGUGAGGAGGAUGGUCACCUGAUAUUGUUUUAAAUCCUCCUUGGUGUCCUCCUUCAAAUUAUGCCUAUUGUGCCAGCUCAGUGCCCAACAUACAGUCAAUCUCUAAUAAAUAUUUCCUGGAGGAGAGAGAGAGAAGAAGUUGGUGACACUAGUCAUGCCCCUAAUGUUUUAUUUUUGCUCUUCUAAAAAGCAGUGCAUAAGAAAGUUACCAUAUGCAGUGAAAUAAAAAUGCUGAAUUUACGUCUUUUGCUUCCAGAAGGAGGUGAAUGUGAAGGUCAGAUUUUAGGCAGACUUCAAAUUGAAGCUCAGUUUUAGAUAAAACAUUCUCAGUGCAGAGGCUCAGAGAUGACGCAGUGGGGCGGAGGGUGCCGGAGGGAGGGAGGGAGGCAGGAAAACUCAAGCCCUCUCUCUGAUCUCCAUGGAUGGCCAGAUUAGGAAAUGCAUGUGGAACCACAGGAAGAGCCACACGGGCCAGAAGCGACAUGCUUUUGAGUGGUAAACCCACAAAUGAACAUACAAGUUCAGAAUUCAUAAAUGUCCCAGAGAAGACAGCAAGCUUUAGAAGCAGCAUGCAUUUCAUUACCAAGCAAAUUUACUGAUUUGUUUCAGUUUUAUGUCUUUGGACAAAUAUAGAUUGGCAGGAUUUUCAUAUUCAGCUCACUUCAUGCUGCUGCUUUUGAUUUUUUCCUUCCUUAGUUGUGACCUCUUGCAGAAUUCCUGACACUGAGCUACGAUGUUCUCAAGCAUGUUGCAAUGUCAAGUUCAGGCACUUAAGAAUCAUUAAAUCCAAAAUUUCUCUCAUCUCUGUUGUUUUUGGAAUUGGGGUUGAAAAUGGGUUUGAGGGCAAAGUAUUCUUUCUAAGCAGA
This 3963-nucleotide long non-coding RNA is filed under the name Homo sapiens (human). Its description in RNAcentral is "HSALNT0392958". The record is from RNAcentral. Lineage: Eukaryota; Metazoa; Chordata; Mammalia; Primates; Hominidae.